Molecule: ribosomal RNA, 285 nt
Filed under: uncultured bacterium
Lineage: Bacteria
Description: partial 16S ribosomal RNA
Rfam family: Bacterial small subunit ribosomal RNA
Source: RNAcentral
UAUCCUACGGGGCGCAGCAGUGAGGAAUAUUGGUCAAUGGGCGCAAGCCUGAACCAGCCAAGUCGCGUGAGGGAUGACGGUCCUAUGGAUUGUAAACCUCUUUUGUCGGGGAGCAAGGCCCGCCACGUGUGGCGGGAAGGAGAGUACCCGAAGAAAAAGCAUCGGCUAACUCCGUGCCAGCAGCCGCGGUAAUACGGAGGACGCGAGCGUUAAUCGGAAUUACUGGGCGUAAAGCGCGCGUAGGCUGUUUCGUAAGUUGGGGGUGAAAUCCCACGGCUCAACCGU